GUGAAGGCAACCUUCAUACUCCAGAUAUUGUGGACUACUUCUCCCUUGAUGCUUUAUCAUCUUUAUGGCUGAAACAUUUGGAGUGCAAAAGGUUGCCUACCCCUGGUCUAGUGGGAUGCUGGAUCACCCUGUGCUCUCAUUUUAUAGACAAUCAAGGCAACUGCCUCUCUCACAAGUUCUGUACUGAUGUUGGAGUGAUGCCACAUCCCAUC
Pelobates cultripes (western spadefoot toad) is the source of this 212-nucleotide non-coding RNA. The record is from the annotation of a GenBank genome assembly. NCBI's taxonomy places the organism in Eukaryota, Metazoa, Chordata, Amphibia, Anura, Pelobatidae.